UGCAGCUGAUCAUCGACAAGUCGACGGCAAUUGCGAUGAAGAGCUCACAGGCUGGGCGUCCUCUCGGCAGCUCCGGAGAUGACGGUGAGCAGGUUGUUGCCGAAGGGGUCGCUGAGGUGCGCAGAGAGGUUCUCAACGGGGCCCUCGCCAGUGACGUAUGCCUGGAUGAAGAAACCCAGCAUGGAGAACAUGGCUAGCCGGCCGUUCUUGAUCUCCUUCACCUUGAGCAGCGCCGCCUGGUCGGGGUCGCUGGCGAGGCCGAGCGGGUCGAAUGGGCCACCGGGGUGGAGCUUGUCCUCAAGAUCCUGCCGGAGAAAUUGAUGAAAACCGUUGGUCAGUACAAAGUUCCUAAUUGCAGCUCAACUUAUGUAUAUGUUUGAGGUGUUACUGUCACUGAC
This 398-nucleotide long non-coding RNA is filed under the name Brachypodium distachyon (stiff brome). RNAcentral describes it as "long non-coding RNA (BDIS_LNC004779)". Lineage: Eukaryota; Viridiplantae; Streptophyta; Magnoliopsida; Poales; Poaceae. The record is from RNAcentral.